AAUGCUGUCAAAGGCUUAGAACCCUCCAACGAUUCCCUGCGUGUGACACCAAAUGUUUGCAUGAUUACACCAGAAGUAGGACUUCCAGCUGAUAGUUGAGAAAGAGCUCCUGAUGGUCUUGUCUGUGUACUCUCUUCUUUAUCUGCCAGUAGUUGGAAAACUGCAGAAGAUUUUCCACAAUUUUUUGUGUCUUCAGCAUUCAUCAAAGUUUGUGAAGUCCCUUUCAAUGUAGACUUGGUCUCAGAGGCUAAAUGCCAGGAAAGAGUUUUGGAUGCGGGGGAACCUGAAGGCUGGAGAUGAGAUCUAGCUUGAAAUGAAUUUUUCCUUGCAUCAGUUUGAAUGUAAGGGCUAAAAUGUACCUUCUUGUUAACAGAAUUUGGUAAUAUAUAAUGUUUGUGAUGUCUUGGGAUAAAUGCCAACAACUGCUGCUGCCUAAGACCUUCCUUAUCCGUAUAUGUUUGGCAUGUAAGAAGUUGCUGNAUUUAGACAUGAAACUUUUAGCUCCGUGGUUGAGACGUCUAAAGUUUGUUGCUCAACAAGGCCAGUUAACUUGUAAGCCACGGUGCCAAGAUGAUCAACAGCAUUAACAAGGGCUCGCACAGCAUAAUCUUUCAGGUUGUCCAGCACCAUCUGCUUCUGCUCAGUAUGAAGAUAAGACUUCUCACAAUAUUCUGCAGCAGAAUAAAGUUGAGGCCUCAAGUUUUUGAGCUCCUGUAAAGCCUUGACGAAACUUUUGCUGCGCUCCAUGGAAAUCUCAUCGAAGGUCAUAGCCGGAUUGUCCGUUCGGGUUUGCUCCACUUCCAUUUUUCUCAGCCGUUAAAAGCGUCAGUUAUGAAAUUCUGAGGAAAAUGAAUUGAUAAAUACAAACCCUAGAUGCAUAAAAUUAAAGAAAAUUUGAUUAACUAAUAUUAAAUGAAUGUGAAAGUAAUAUAUAAAUGGUUAGAUUUGGGGUUAGGUUACGGCGGGAGAGCUAAGCCAAGUGGAGAAAGGAUCAGGGUAAACAGAAAAGUGGAAAGUAGAGAGAGGGAGUGAAGUAGAUUAGAAGCGAUUCCAGACAGGUGAGUGGAAAUUGUAGUAAUUUGGAGUUAAUAGCAAGUUAAAAUGACUUUGGCUCUUGGGGAGGCAUUUAUUUGGUAGUGUUUAUUGUGGUGGCAAGCAAGGGUAGUUGACAAGCU
This 1175-nucleotide unclassified non-coding RNA is filed under the name Hevea brasiliensis (rubber tree). Lineage: Eukaryota; Viridiplantae; Streptophyta; Magnoliopsida; Malpighiales; Euphorbiaceae. The record is from RNAcentral.